UACGGAGGGUGCGAACGUUGUUCGGAAUUACUGGGCGUAAAGCGCGUGUAGGCUGUUCGGAAAGUCGGGUGUGAAAGCCCUGGGCUCAACCUAGGAAGUGCACUCGAAACUCCCGAACUCGAGUCCCGGAGAGGAAGGCGGAAUUCUCGGUGUAGAGGUGAAAUUCGUAGAUAUCGAGAGGAACAUCGGUGGCGAAGGCGGCCUUCUGGACGGUGACUGACGCUGAGACGCGAAAGCGUGGGGAGCAAACAGG
RNAcentral lists this ribosomal RNA (253 nucleotides) under uncultured bacterium. RNAcentral's name for it is "partial 16S ribosomal RNA". It matches the Rfam family "Bacterial small subunit ribosomal RNA", at positions 524 to 776 of the family's 1533-position model. The record is from RNAcentral.